RNAcentral lists this ribosomal RNA (48 nucleotides) under Cinnagrostis nitidula. RNAcentral's name for it is "partial 26S ribosomal RNA". The record is from RNAcentral. Lineage: Eukaryota; Viridiplantae; Streptophyta; Magnoliopsida; Poales; Poaceae.
GCGACCCCAGGUCAGGCGGGACUACCCGCUGAAUUUAAGCAUAUAAAU